RNAcentral lists this unclassified non-coding RNA (183 nucleotides) under uncultured Agaricomycetes. Its description in RNAcentral is "sequence contains ITS1". Lineage: Eukaryota; Fungi; Basidiomycota; Agaricomycetes. The record is from RNAcentral.
GUGAAUGAGACCUCUGGUUUCAAACACCUGCUGCUUUCAGCUGUGCGCCUUUGGGCUUGCACGUUGGACGUGGCAUAUUCACAACACACCUGUGCACCUUUCAGAUGUCUGGGGCUGAAAAGCCCCGGCGUUUGCCCUUUACACAAAACACAGUCUUUGAAUGUCAUAUAAACUUAACAAAUA